CGCAAUGGGCGAAAGCCUGACGGAGCGACGCCGCGUGACUGAUGAAGUUCUUCGGAAUGUAAAGGUCUUUUGUGAGGUAGAAAGUUAUUGAUCGCCUCAAGAAUAAGGGGUUGCUAAACUCGUGCCAGCAGCAGCGGUAAUACGAGUGCCCCGAGCGUUAUCCGGAAUCAUUGGGCGUAAAGGGUGUGUAGGCGGUUGUGUUAGUCUUUUGUUAAAGCUCCCGGCUUAACCGGGAAAGUGCAAGAGAAACGGCACAACUAGAGGAUGCGAGAGGUGAACGGAACUCAUAGUGUAGGGGUGAAAUCCGUUGAUAUUAUGGGGAACACCAAAUGCGAAGGCAGUUCACUGGCGCACUCCUGACGUUGAAACACGAAAGCGU
This 379-nucleotide ribosomal RNA is filed under the name uncultured organism. RNAcentral's name for it is "bacterial SSU rRNA". It matches the Rfam family "Bacterial small subunit ribosomal RNA", at positions 367 to 762 of the family's 1533-position model. The record is from RNAcentral.